AUUGAACGCUGGCGGCAGGCUUAACACAUGCAAGUCGAGCGGGGUGAUGGUGCUUGCACUAUCACUUAGCGGCGGACGGGUGAGUAAUGCUUAGGAAUCUGCCUAUUAGUGGGGGACAACAUCUCGAAAGGGAUGCUAAUACCGCAUACGUCCUACGGGAGAAAGCAGGGGAUCACUUGUGACCUUGUGCUAAUAGCUGAGCCUAAGUCGGAUUAGCUAGUUGGUGGGGUAAAGGCCUACGAAGGCGACGAUCUGUAGCGGGUAUGAGAGGAUGAUCCGCCACACUGGGACUGAGACACGGCCCAGACUCCUACGGGAGGCAGCAGUGGGGAAUAUUGGACAAUGGGGGAACCCUGAUCCAGCCAUGCCGCGUGUGUGAAGAAGGCCUUAUGGUUGUAAAGCACUUUAAGCGAGGAGGAGGCUCUUUUGGUUAAUACCCAAGAUGAGUGGACGUUACUCGCAGAAUAAGCACCGGCCAACUCCGUGCCAGCAGCCGCCGUAA
Molecule: ribosomal RNA, 502 nt
Filed under: uncultured bacterium
Lineage: Bacteria
Description: partial 16S ribosomal RNA
Rfam family: Bacterial small subunit ribosomal RNA
Source: RNAcentral